AACGGCCAUACCAUGCUGAAUAUACCAGUUCUCGUUAGAUCAACGAGGGCAAGCAUCAUUGGGCGCGGUCAGUACUUGGGUGGGUGACCACCUGGGUG
Molecule: ribosomal RNA, 98 nt
Filed under: Caerostris darwini
Lineage: Eukaryota; Metazoa; Arthropoda; Arachnida; Araneae; Araneidae
Source: RNAcentral